CUCCUGGAGCAAGCCGGGCCAUGGCACUUUUGAUGAAAAUAUGUCUAGUACAGGAAGUCUACCAGGAAACACCCUCCAAAUAGAGAUUAACAUCAGGAAACUUGGGGCAGUCUUGUGACACCGGGCACACAAUGCCACCACCUCCACCACGGGGGCAAAGAUCAGCAGCCUUCAGCAAGCUAGGAAGACAUCUGCUUCUGAGUAAUCUGGGGCAAACAUAAACGUGAACUUCAUUGGGCUCUGGCUUUUGAACAAAGCAAAUGUUAGAAGCCGUGCAUUCCUUAGUCAAGUUGUUUUUCAACAUCCAAGUUUAGGACAGUGACUUCUGACUAGUGGAUUCUUGUCUGCUCAAGGUACUGCUGAGAGUAUUAUAACUGCAGACUGAGUUGUCAAGGAAAUUUUUUUUUUUUAAACCACAACUGUGUGCAGAGCAUUGCUUUCGUGUCAGAGGGAUUUAUAGAAGCCAUAGGUCUCUCAACUGGAAAGAGAGAACGAAUGUUGAUAGAUGGGGAGAUGGAUGGAUGAUUGAAUAGCCCCCGUGACACAGUCCUUGAAACAUCCUCGGAUACUUCGAGACUUCUAAAAUUGAAGCCAGGUGGCCACCGUGCCAGCCAGCUGACUCCCAUCUCUCUCCUGAAGCCUGGGGAGCAUCUGGAUUAAGGUGAAUGCCCUAAGAGGAAGCCUUCCUCCUCCCAAAGCUGCCAGCAGAGCUUCAGACUACAUGCCCUGAGGUUCGGAUCUCUCUGGCCUCCAGAGGGCACUGCCCAUCACCAUCCGAUUCCUCCUCUUCUAGCUCAAAGCCUCCAAGGCUUUCUACUGUCUCCAUGGUGAGAAAGUUCAAGUUCCUUAGGAAGACACUCAAGCCCCCCCAGAUUUGGUUCCUACAUAUUUUCCUUUGUGUAUCCCUCCUAAGAUGUCCACUCCCUCCUUCCAAGAGUGGACAUCUUCUUGGGAGAAUUCUUUUUAGAUCUAGCUUGGAAUUAUGAGACCUCAGGGAAUACUAACACCAUUAAUUUUAAUGAGUUCACACAUAUAAGUGUAUAACACUUUUUACUCACUCAAAGCAUUUUCAGGGCUAUUAGCUCAUCUGAGGUCUCAAAAAUCCUCAGAGGGCUGUAGAGAAGACAUCACCUCCAUUUUACAGAUGGAAAAACUAAGGCACAAAAGGUUGAGAUCUUUGCCUGAGACCGCCUAGCAAGUAGAUGGCAAGGCAGCUCUCCUGAUGUUCCAAGAUCGAGAACAGAGAAUUCAAUCCCUAGUAUAAAGAACUGAAUCCUUAAAAAAAAAAAUUCAUGGCUCAUUUUUCUUUUAUCCCCCCACCUCCUCCUCCUCACAAGGCUAAAUCUAUGAAAUUGGAACAACACAGCAAACAGCUGAGGGCUAUGGUCACAGCCCACAGAACUUUAUGGAAGAUCUGGUCACGGCCCAACUUUUCAAAAAAGCCAAAUGGAUCUGUACAACACAAGUGCAAAUGUUGGGACCAUGCUGACGGGGUGUCUUGUGAGGUAUUUCCACAGGAAGCAAACAACAGGCAAUUAACCUUGCUAUAACAAUGCAUGCGGUCAAAUGAAAAAACAAAAGCCUCAGGAGGAGCCCGCACUCUAUGUCCAGUCCUCGUUUCAAAUAAAUCCGUAUAUCUGACUGAGACUUCACCCUGGCUACCCAUCCCUAACAGCAGGACACGUGCCUCAUGUCUCUAUUGGCAUUUUGACCACUGCUGGGUGGCUUCUGAGAACCAUUGUCCCGGCUAAGAAGCCAACCCAGAUUCCAACAGGGAAGUUGGAGGAAGGUGUUUCAGAGGGCUUAGGUGUCACCGUUCCCACUUCUCAGAUGGGCAAACUGAGGAGUGCAAGCUUAUAGGACCAACAGGUACAAUCCUACAAUCCUAGACAAGGCAUAUGGUGGAAACAGGAUCAGAGCCUGCUCCCUAGCUUGGUGACCAUCUCUAGGGACCAGAGCUUUUCCAGGUCUCCACAUGACAACCAAGCCCUUGGCUGUAAUAACCCAGGGGCAGUGUGACCUGAACAGUAGGCUCUUGGCCAGCAAGUCGAGAGAUCCGAGAGCAACUCCUGGUUGGAUCGUAGCCUCCUCUCCUUACCUGGAAAUUUCAGAGUCACACUGUGUAGCUGGCAUGGGCGGCAGUGCUGGGCAGGAGGUGGGAGGUAGGGUGAGGGCUACUUCCCGUCGGUGAUCUCAACCCCAAUGCAGAAACAAUUCUCAGCCCCGAAGCAGAAACAUUCCUAGAGAUGGCUGGCUUGCUGUCACCGUACCAAGACGUCGCCUCUCACGCACUCGCCCAGAUAAAUGGAAGACCAACCACUCCUAACUCUCUGUCUUCUAUCUUUCUGGAUUUAUUGAAGGGUUUCAAUGAUUUUCAUAAUAUAUUGUUCAGCACAGGGGUCUCAAACUCUGGCCUGCUGUUUAUUCCCUGAUGUCCCAUAAACUAAGAAUGCUAAGGAUGCUCUUUACAUUUUUAAGUGGCUGAAAAAAGGAUCAAAAGAAGACUAAUAUCUCAUUCAUGAUUAUACAAAAUUGAACUUUUGGAGUCCAUAAAUCAAGAUUUUCAGUGCAGCCACACACACUUAAUUUAUGUAUCUUACACUGUGAUGCUAUGACACUUGUAGCUGUUUUCAUGCAGCAGAGUAGAAGGGAGUAGACCAUGUGACCCACAAAGCUCAAAAUUUAAACUCUCUGGCCCUUUACAGAAGAAAUUUAGCCUUUUUAACCAACUCCUAGCUUAGUGUAAAAGGCAGGCCACAAAUCACCGUAUUUGCAUCAUCAUUCUCUACACACUCAUUGAGAAAGAAAACGUACUAGAAUAGGGGUUAUCUCAGGUACCUGAGGUUACAUGCAAUUAUUUGAAUUUUCCACUGACUUUUUUUUUUUUCUUUUCAGGGCCACACCUGUGGGAUAUGGAAGUUCCCAGGCGAGGGGUCAGAUCAGAGCUACAGCUGCAGGCCUACACUACAGCCACAGGAACGAGGGA
Sus scrofa (pig) is the source of this 2986-nucleotide non-coding RNA. NCBI's taxonomy places the organism in Eukaryota, Metazoa, Chordata, Mammalia, Artiodactyla, Suidae. The record is from RefSeq and is a predicted model, not a curated record.